Oncorhynchus tshawytscha (Chinook salmon) is the source of this 866-nucleotide long non-coding RNA. RefSeq lists it as uncharacterized. NCBI's taxonomy places the organism in Eukaryota, Metazoa, Chordata, Actinopteri, Salmoniformes, Salmonidae. The transcript has 3 exons. The record is from RefSeq and is a predicted model, not a curated record.
CAACACCCUGUAUGUCCACCUCAGGUUAGACACACACAACACCCUGUAUGUCCACCUCAGGUUAGACACACACAACACCCUGUAUGUCCACCUCACAGGCUCUCUCUCGUGUCACCCCCAGUGGCCUCCAGUCAGCAGCCCCUCGAUGAGUCCCUCUGCCCCCAUCACCACCACCAUCACCACCCUGGAGGGUUAAACCAUGCACGGCCCUAACCAUACCACACACCAACACACACACCAUACCACACACCAACACACACUUCAAUACCUGGAGGACGCUUACUGAAACAACCAGUCAACCCAUCGGAUGCCUGGACUCUUACACAAUCAACCAAUCAAAAGGCAGGACAAGGACCUCGUCAUCCGCUAGCAACUCCAUCCAUCCAACCAGCCAAUCAAAACACACAGACUGAUGCUCUGCCUCUUUGACAUCAACUGAUCUCUGCUAAGUAACAAGCUCAUGCUGUUGUAACAGGGUGGAUGACACACACACACUCUCUCUCACACACACACACACACACACACACACACACACAACUCAGAGAGCGUUCAGCCGUGCUCAUGGAUGGAGGAGGAGGAGAUGAGACGGGGAUGGAGGAGGAGAGGGGGGAAGGAGGGAUUUUGUUGCCCCUGGCACACCCAGAACAGUCACUGCCCCCCCCACCCCUCUGCUUUCGUGAACCCCAGCGAGGACACUGACAUCGGGCACACAGACCUGCUUAAUGCCCCUUACACACCUCAUCCUCAUCACUUCUCUCCCUCUCUCCUCCUCCAUCACUUCUCUCCCUCUCUCCUCCUCCAUCACUUCUCUCCCUCUCUCUCCUCCUCCAUCACUUCUCUCCCUCUCUCUCCUCCUCCAUCACUUC